RNAcentral lists this ribosomal RNA (459 nucleotides) under uncultured bacterium. RNAcentral describes it as "partial 16S ribosomal RNA". It matches the Rfam family "Bacterial small subunit ribosomal RNA", at positions 27 to 507 of the family's 1533-position model. The record is from RNAcentral.
GGAUAAACGCUGGCGGCGUGCAUGAGCCAUGCAAGUCGAACGAAGGAUCGGGCUUGCUCGAUCCUUAGUGGCGGACGGCUGAGUAACGCGUAGGUGACCUACCCCGAAGUGGGGAAUAACUGCCCGAAAGGGUGGCUAAUACCGCAUGUGGUCGCACGUUCAUUCGUGCGAGUAAAGCCGCAAGGCGCUUCGGGAGGGGCCUGCGUCCGAUUAGCUCGUUGGUGGGGUAAUGGCUUACCAAGGCGACGAUCGGUAGGUGGUCUGAGAGGACGAUCACCCAGACUGGGACUGAGACACGGCCCAGACUCCUACGGGAGGCAGCAGUCGGGAAUUUUGCUCAAUGGGGGAAACCCUGAAGCAGCAACGCCGCGUGAGGGAUGAAGGCCUUCGGGUUGUAAACCUCUUUUGUCAGGGACGAUGAUGACGGUACCUGGCGAAUAAGCCACGGCUAACUACGUG